CAGUGUGCCCUCGCAGCUUCUGGAUCCCCUGUUGACUCUUGACAGCAGUUGGGUAGAUGCAGCAGUGGCCACAGCUUCGUGCUGCUGCCUGGUGUAUUCCCUCAGCUACCUGGAGCUGAUCUUCAGCUGGGUGUUGCUGGCACUUGGGCUUCUCGCCUAGUGCUGCUGGAGUCGCAUCGUCAAGCAGGUCUUGCGAACACUCCAGAGCAUUAUUGUGCUGCAUCUGCUGGGCAGCCAUAGCACCCUAGCAAAUGAAUCAAGCAGCACAAAAGGUCAAUAAUAUGGAAUUUUGUUGAGUCACAGACUAAUGUGAUUUGAUCAAAGAAGACCCUCCUGAAACAAAGGCCCAGAUGGUUCAACAUCCAUGAUGGCUUCAGGACUGCUGGCUGAGAUGGACCUAUCACACAGGAUACCCCCAAUAAAUAAUAGUACCCCCAAUAAACAGGA
Non-coding RNA from Myodes glareolus (Bank vole), 447 nucleotides. NCBI's taxonomy places the organism in Eukaryota, Metazoa, Chordata, Mammalia, Rodentia, Cricetidae. The record is from RefSeq and is a predicted model, not a curated record.